GACUAGCUGAGAGAGGUGCAUGGCCGUCGUCAGUUCGUACUGUGAAGCAUCCUGUUAAGUCAGGCAACGAGCGAGACCCACGCCAACAGUUGCCAGCUCGUCCUCCGGGAUGGUGGGGACACUGUGGGACCGCCGCUGCUAAAGCGGAGGAAGGAAUGGGCAACGGUAGGUCAGUAUGCCCCGAAUAUCCCGGGCUACACGCGAGCUACAAUGGUUGGUACAAUGGGUAUCUACCCCGAAAGGGGACGGGAAUCUCCUAAAACCAAUCUUAGUUCGGAUUGAGGGCUGCAACUCGCCCUCAUGAAGCUGGAAUCCGUAGUAAUCGCGUUUCAACAGAACGCGGUGAAUACGUCCCUGCUCCUU
Molecule: ribosomal RNA, 363 nt
Filed under: uncultured Methanosaeta sp.
Lineage: Archaea; Methanobacteriati; Methanobacteriota; Methanomicrobia; Methanotrichales; Methanotrichaceae
Description: bacterial SSU rRNA
Rfam family: Archaeal small subunit ribosomal RNA
Source: RNAcentral